This 418-nucleotide ribosomal RNA is filed under the name uncultured Glomus. Its description in RNAcentral is "SSU rRNA". It matches the Rfam family "Eukaryotic small subunit ribosomal RNA", at positions 569 to 981 of the family's 1831-position model. The record is from RNAcentral. Lineage: Eukaryota; Fungi; Glomeromycota; Glomeromycetes; Glomerales; Glomeraceae.
AGCAGCCGCGGUAAUUCCAGCUCCAAUAGCGUAUAUUAAAGUUGUUGCAGUUAAAAAGCUCGUAGUUGAAUUUCGGGGGUCAGUAGGUCGGUCGUGCCACUGGUAUGAACUGGUUUACUGAUUCCUCCCUCUUGAAGAACUGUAAUGCCAUUAAUUUGGUGUUGCAGGGAAUCAGGACUGUUACUUUGAAAAAAUUAGAGUGUUUAAAGCAGGCUUUAGCUUGAAUACGUUAGCAUGGAAUAAUGAAAUAGGACGUUUGAUCCUAUUUUGUUGGUUUCUAGGAUUUGACGUAAUGAUUAAUAGGGAUAGUUGGGGGCAGUUAGUAUUCAAUUGUCAGAGGUGAAAAUUCUUAGGAUUUUAUUGAAGACUAAACUACUGCGAAAGCAAUUUGCCUAAGGAUGUUUUCAUUUAAUCAAAG